UGUUGUUGUUGUUGCUUCAAAAGAAAUCCAACCCAGCAGCAGCAUCUAGAGCAGCAGCAGCAGCAACAACAACCGCUGCAACAACUAUUGUACAAUGGGGUCCGGCUCAUGCGGCAGCAUUGCGUGGAGUUUGCUUGUUGUGUUAGACAGAAAAAAAACCCAGAAAACUAAAAAAGAAAAAAAUCUAAAAUCAAAUCGUUUACUUUCAACUCAAACGACGACGACUCUCAGCUAACUUAUACGGAUAAAUGGCCAAGGAUAAACAAAGAAAAAAAAAUGAAAAAAAAUCAAGCAAAAAAAUAUCUAAUUGAAAAAUUUCAUGAUCCAAGCUUAAAAAAAAAAAACACAAAAAAGAAACAUUUAAGAACCCUCCCGAGUUUAGCCAGAAGGCGUUUACGGAUCAUUUCAAACCCGGAGCCUCGUUUCGAGUGCGGCGCAUCCAAUCCCCCCUCUUCCCAUCCACAAACCCGGAGGCACAUACAUACAAUAUAUUCCUGUUUGGGGAAUAUAUGGUUAUUGAAGCUAUGGUCAAGAAACCCUCCUUCACCUACUCCGGAACUUUUGUUUUUAAUUAACCCUUCAACCCAGUUUAACGUUUCCCAUACGCGACGGAGAAUUCAGUUUUGCCCAAGCCUAUCAUAAACAAUUUACAAACUAUAUAAAACAUAUAUAACAAUUAAUCUUAAAAUUGAUAACAUAAACUCAUUUGUCGGACAAACGUGUGUAAUACUGUAGUAAAAACAAAGAAAAGUAUUAAGAUCUAUCUAAUUACGUACACGUAUUUCAAACCAUUUCUAUAUACUUUAAAAACUUUCGAGAAAAAAACCUAAGUGUAAUAUCUUUUAAAAUGAAAUAAAGUUUCCGACAAAUAAA
Molecule: non-coding RNA, 873 nt
Organism: Drosophila virilis
Lineage: Eukaryota; Metazoa; Arthropoda; Insecta; Diptera; Drosophilidae
Source: RefSeq, a predicted model, not a curated record